Molecule: ribosomal RNA, 253 nt
Filed under: uncultured bacterium
Lineage: Bacteria
Description: partial 16S ribosomal RNA
Rfam family: Bacterial small subunit ribosomal RNA
Source: RNAcentral
UACGUAGGUGGCAAGCGUUGUCCGGAUUUACUGGGCGUAAAGAGCGCGCAGGCGGUCGUUCAAGUCGCGUGUGAAAGCCCCCGGCUCAACUGGGGAGGGUCACGCGAUACUGAUCGACUCGAAGGCAGGAGAGGAUCGCGGAAUUCCCGGUGUAGAGGUGAAAUUCGUAGAUAUCGGGAGGAACACCAGUGGCGAAGGCGGCGAUCUGGGAAGAUACUGACGCUGAGGUGCGAAAGCGUGGGGAGCGAACAGG